This 114-nucleotide non-coding RNA is filed under the name Bacillus gaemokensis. Its description in RNAcentral is "SAM-I sequence". It matches the Rfam family "SAM riboswitch aptamer (S box leader)". From Rfam's summary of the family: The SAM riboswitch is found upstream of a number of genes which code for proteins involved in methionine or cysteine biosynthesis in Gram-positive bacteria. Lineage: Bacteria; Bacillati; Bacillota; Bacilli; Caryophanales; Bacillaceae. The record is from RNAcentral.
UCCUUAUCGAGAGAGGCAGAGGGACUGGCCCUUUGAAGCCCGGCAACCUCAGUUUAUAUAAAACUGAACAGGUGCUAAAUCCUGCAAAAUGCACUGCAUUUUGGAAGAUAAAAU